RNAcentral lists this transfer-messenger RNA (361 nucleotides) under Yersinia pestis. It matches the Rfam family "transfer-messenger RNA". Rfam says of the family: Bacterial tmRNA, also known as 10Sa RNA or SsrA, is named for its dual tRNA and mRNA-like properties. Its role is to liberate the mRNA from a stalled ribosome. Lineage: Bacteria; Pseudomonadati; Pseudomonadota; Gammaproteobacteria; Enterobacterales; Yersiniaceae. The record is from RNAcentral.
GGGGCUGAUUCUGGAUUCGACGGGAUUCGCGAAACCCAAGGUGCAUGCCGAGGUGCGGUGGCCUCGUAAAAAACCGCAAAAAAAAUAGUUGCAAACGACGAAAACUACGCACUAGCAGCUUAAUAACCUGCUUAGAGCCCUCUCUCCCUAGCCUCCGCUCUUAGGACGGGGAUCAAGAGAGGUCAAACCUAAAAGAGCUCGUGUGGAAACCUUGCCUGGGGUGGAAGCAUUAAAACUAAUCAGGAUAGUUUGUCAGUAGCGUGUCCAUCCGCAGCUGGCCGGCGAAUGUAAUGAUUGGACUAAGCAUGUAGUGCCGACGGUGUAGUAAUUUCGGACGGGGGUUCAAAUCCCCCCAGCUCCA